Molecule: unclassified non-coding RNA, 212 nt
Filed under: Hevea brasiliensis (rubber tree)
Lineage: Eukaryota; Viridiplantae; Streptophyta; Magnoliopsida; Malpighiales; Euphorbiaceae
Source: RNAcentral
GCUCCGUAUGACCAGCUGCAAAUGAUGGAACGCUUAGUUGAAGUUCCUCAACUUACUCCUGCAUAGGGAUGAUUUGAAGUCGAAAAUCGAAUACAAAUACAGUUUGGAAGAACUUUUGUAUUUUAAUUAUACGUAGAUAGAAAUUUUCACUACCAUUUUAGUUCAUAAUAUUGUUAUCUUUGUAGCAAAUCUUCACUAGUGUGUAUCAUUUU